GGGGUUGUGGCUCAGUGGUAGAGUGCUUGCCUCAUACGUGCGAGGCCCUGGGUUCAAUCCUCAGCACCA
Non-coding RNA from Ictidomys tridecemlineatus (thirteen-lined ground squirrel), 69 nucleotides. NCBI's taxonomy places the organism in Eukaryota, Metazoa, Chordata, Mammalia, Rodentia, Sciuridae. The record is from Rfam.